This 497-nucleotide ribosomal RNA is filed under the name uncultured bacterium. RNAcentral describes it as "partial 16S ribosomal RNA". It matches the Rfam family "Bacterial small subunit ribosomal RNA", at positions 28 to 507 of the family's 1533-position model. The record is from RNAcentral.
GAUGAACGCUGGCGGCGUGCCUAAUACAUGCAAGUCGAGCGAACGGACGAGAAGCUUGCUACUCUGAUGUUAGCGGCGGACGGGUGAGUAACACGUGGAUAACCUACCUAUAAGACUGGGAUAACUUCGGGAAACCGGAGCUAAUACCGGAUGAUAUUUUGAACCGCAUGGUUCAAAAGUGAAAGACGGUCUUGCUGUCACUUAUAGAUGGAUCCGCGCUGCAUUAGCUAGUUGGUAAGGUAACGGCUUACCAAGGCAACGAUGCAUAGCCGACCUGAGAGGGUGAUCGGCCACACUGGAACUGAGACACGGUCCGGACUCCUACGGGAGGCAGCAGUAGGGAAUCUUCCGCAAUGGGCGAAAGCCUGACGGAGCAACGCCGCGUGAGUGAUGAAGGUCUUCGGAUCGUAAAACUCUGUUAUUAGGGAAGAACAUAUGUGUAAGUAACUGUGCACAUCUUGACGGUACCUAAUCAGAAAGCCACGGCUAACUACGUG